Molecule: long non-coding RNA, 212 nt
Filed under: Prunus persica (peach)
Lineage: Eukaryota; Viridiplantae; Streptophyta; Magnoliopsida; Rosales; Rosaceae
Description: long non-coding RNA (PPER_LNC004655)
Source: RNAcentral
UGGAUUUUGAGUGAAAUCCAAUCUCUACAACUAUGCAAUACGCCAACGACUACAUUUCAUAACGAACUUCGUACGAACCUAAAUUGUCCAAUUUGAUGGACCAAUGGAUAUCGGAUUGAGUCCAAAACUUGAGGAACACCGUAAUACGAUGGGUGGAGUCAUUUGGUGAGUUUUGAAUGAAAUCCAAUGGCUAAAACUAUGCAGUACACCAC